This 1845-nucleotide ribosomal RNA is filed under the name Proteus mirabilis. RNAcentral describes it as "partial 23S ribosomal RNA". It matches the Rfam family "Bacterial large subunit ribosomal RNA", at positions 1108 to 2925 of the family's 2925-position model. The record is from RNAcentral. Lineage: Bacteria; Pseudomonadati; Pseudomonadota; Gammaproteobacteria; Enterobacterales; Morganellaceae.
AGCACCCCCCAUCCAUUAAACCAACCGUAAAAGCUCACCGGGCGCCGCGGCCCGCGCGGAAGAUGUAACGGGGCUAAACCAUGCACCGAAGCUGCGGGCUCGUCAAAAAUGUGUUUUGGGUAGGGGAGCGUUCUGUAAGCCUGCGAAGGUGUACUGUGAGGUAUGCUGGAGGUAUCAGAAGUGCGAAUGCUGACAUAAGUAACGAUAAUGCGGGUGAAAAACCCGCACGCCGGAAGACCAAGGGUUCCUGUCCAACGUUAAUCGGGGCAGGGUGAGUCGACCCCUAAGGCGAGGCUGAAAAGCGUAGUCGAUGGGAAACGGGUUAAUAUUCCCGUACUGGUGGUAACUGCGAUGGGGGAACGGAGAAGGCUAGGUUGUCCGGGCGACGGUCGUCCCGGUUCAAGCAGGUAGGCAGAGUGAUUAGGCAAAUCCGGUCACUUAAUGCUGAGAUGUGAUGACGAACCACUAAGGUGGUGAAGCAAUUGAUGCCCCGCUUCCAGGAAAAGCCUCUAAGCUUCAGGUUACCAACAAUCGUACCCCAAACCGACACAGGUGGUCAGGUAGAGAAUACUCAGGCGCUUGAGAGAACUCGGGUGAAGGAACUAGGCAAAAUGGUGCCGUAACUUCGGGAGAAGGCACGCUGGCGGUAGGUAAAGUCCCUCGCGGACAGAGCUGAAGCCAGUCGAAGAUACCAGCUGGCUGCAACUGUUUAUUAAAAACACAGCACUGUGCAAACACGAAAGUGGACGUAUACGGUGUGACGCCUGCCCGGUGCUGGAAGGUUAAUUGAUGGGGUCAGCCGUAAGGCGAAGCUCCUGAUCGAAGCCCCAGUAAACGGCGGCCGUAACUAUAACGGUCCUAAGGUAGCGAAAUUCCUUGUCGGGUAAGUUCCGACCUGCACGAAUGGCGUAAUGAUGGCCAGGCUGUCUCCACCCGAGACUCAGUGAAAUUGAACUCGCUGUGAAGAUGCAGUGUACCCGCGGCAAGACGGAAAGACCCCGUGAACCUUUACUAUAGCUUGACACUGAACAUUGAGCCUUGAUGUGUAGGAUAGGUGGGAGGCUUUGAAGUGUGGACGCCAGUCUGCAUGGAGCCAACCUUGAAAUACCACCCUUUAACGUUUGAUGUUCUAACCUAGGCCCAUAAACUGGGUCGGGGACCGUGUCUGGUGGGUAGUUUGACUGGGGCGGUCUCCUCCUAAAGAGUAACGGAGGAGCACGAAGGUUGGCUAAGCAUGGUCGGACAUCAUGCGGUUAGUGCAAAGGCAUAAGCCAGCUUGACUGCGAGAGUGACGGCUCGAGCAGGUACGAAAGUAGGUCUUAGUGAUCCGGUGGUUCUGAAUGGAAGGGCCAUCGCUCAACGGAUAAAAGGUACUCCGGGGAUAACAGGCUGAUACCGCCCAAGAGUUCAUAUCGACGGCGGUGUUUGGCACCUCGAUGUCGGCUCAUCACAUCCUGGGGCUGAAGUAGGUCCCAAGGGUAUGGCUGUUCGCCAUUUAAAGUGGUACGCGAGCUGGGUUUAGAACGUCGUGAGACAGUUCGGUCCCUAUCUGCCGUGGGCGUUGGAAGAUUGAGAGGGGUUGCUCCUAGUACGAGAGGACCGGAGUGAACGCACCACUGGUGUUCGGGUUGUCAUGCCAAUGGCAUUGCCCGGUAGCUAAGUGCGGAAGAGAUAACCGCUGAAAGCAUCUAAGCGGGAAACUUGCCUCGAGAUGAGUCUUCCCUGUCGCUUUAAGACAACUAAAGCAACGUUAAAUAAUAAGACUUUGAUACUCUGGGUGUGUAAUAUAAUAGAUACGUUGAGCUAACCAGUACUAAUGAACCGUGAGGCUUAACCUGACAACAC